Molecule: ribosomal RNA, 404 nt
Filed under: Actinomycetes bacterium
Lineage: Bacteria; Bacillati; Actinomycetota; Actinomycetes
Description: Actinobacteria bacterium partial 16S ribosomal RNA
Rfam family: Bacterial small subunit ribosomal RNA
Source: RNAcentral
UGGGGAAUAUUGGACAAUGGGCGCAAGCCUGAUCCAGCCAUGCCGCGUGUGUGAUGAAGGCCCUAGGGUUGUAAAGCUCUUUCACCGGUGAAGAUAAUGACGGUAAACGGAGAAGAAGCCCCGGCUAACUUCGUGCCAGCAGCCGCGGUAAUACGAAGGGGGCUAGCGUUGUUCGGAUUUACUGGGCGUAAAGCGCACGUAGGCGGACUUUUAAGUCAGGGGUGAAAUCCCGGGGCUCAACCCCGGAACUGCCUUUGAUACUGGAAGUCUUGAGUAUGGUAGAGGUGAGUGGAAUUCCGAGUGUAGAAGUGAAAUUCGUAGAUAUUCGGAGGAACACCAGUGGCGAAGGCGGCUCACUGGACCAUUACUGACGCUGAGGUGCGAAAGCGUGGGGAGCAAACAGG